GACGAACGCUGGCGGCGUGCCUAAUACAUGCAAGUCGAGCGGAAACGAUCCUAGCUUGCUAGGAGGCGUCGAGCGGCGGACGGGUGAGUAACGCGUGAGAAUCUACCCAUGAGUGGGGGACAACCCGGGGAAACUCGGGCUAAUACCGCAUACGCCCUACGGGGUAAAGCAGGGGACCUUCGGGCCUUGCGCUGAUGGAUGAGCUCGCGUCGGAUUAGCUUGUUGGUGAGGUAAAGGCUCACCAAGGCGACGAUCCGUAGCUGGUCUGAGAGGAUGAUCAGCCACACCGGGACUGAGACACGGCCCGGACUCCUACGGGAGGCAGCAGUGGGGAAUCUUGGACAAUGGGGGCAACCCUGAUCCAGCCAUGCCGCGUGUGUGAAGAAGGCCUUCGGGUUGUAAAGCACUUUCAGCAGGGAGGAAGGCUUACCCCUAAUACGGGUGAGUACUUGACGUUACCUGCAGAAGAAGCACCGGCUAAUUUCGUG
RNAcentral lists this ribosomal RNA (488 nucleotides) under uncultured bacterium. RNAcentral's name for it is "bacterial SSU rRNA". It matches the Rfam family "Bacterial small subunit ribosomal RNA", at positions 28 to 507 of the family's 1533-position model. The record is from RNAcentral.